UUUUGCAGUUCUUGAAUAAAGGAGGCAUCCGAGUCAGACACUGGAUCACUUCAGACCUGGAGAAUGCGUGAGUUUGUCGAGGUGUGAUGUUGGGUCCGAACUUGAUGAACUAACUGGCCGCUCCUCAUAAUUCUUGAAUACACUGAAGCUUUAAGGCAAUAUUACAAAGUCCUAGUAAAAUGGCGAAGGCGAGCCUUAGAACAACGGACUGCCAAUUCAGAUUUGAACUCUCUUUGUUGUAUAAUAUUGGAAGGGAAGCCUCGGAACAAUGGUAAAGUUGUCUCCGUAUAACUACUAGGUUAUGAAUUCGAGCAGCUGAAGCAACCGCUAAUGCUUGCGUUAGAAUAGAUUGCCUACAUUCGUAGCUCUUGGGAUGCGACCCUUCUCUGGACCGCUGCGUGAACGUGACAUACCUUGUGCACCGAGCUGCCUUUUUUUAUGAAACUGGAACGCGCGUACCCCAAAUCCACGAAUGUAAAAUUUCUUUAAAAUCACGUAAAUAAUAUUAAAAAUAUGUUUGAAUUA
Molecule: long non-coding RNA, 525 nt
Organism: Nicotiana attenuata
Lineage: Eukaryota; Viridiplantae; Streptophyta; Magnoliopsida; Solanales; Solanaceae
Exons: 3
Source: RefSeq, a predicted model, not a curated record